GACGUAGGGCGCGAGCGUUGUCCGGAUUUAUUGGGCGUAAAGAGCUCGUAGGCGGCUUGUCGCGUCGUCCGUGAAAACUUGGGGCUCAACCCCAAGCUUGCGGUCGAUACGGGCAGGCUAGAGUUCGGUAGGGGAGACUGGAAUUCCUGGUGUAGCGGUGAAAUGCGUAGAUAUCAGGAGGAACACCGGUGGCGAAGGCGCACAUCUGGCCCAAUACUGACGCUAAAGCGCGAAAGCUAGGGGAGCAAACGGG
Molecule: ribosomal RNA, 253 nt
Filed under: uncultured bacterium
Lineage: Bacteria
Description: partial 16S ribosomal RNA
Rfam family: Bacterial small subunit ribosomal RNA
Source: RNAcentral